AUUCGGUGUUUAUUCAUUUGUUUCAACGUAUGAUUCUUUCGCCUUUUACUAAAGAAUUCCGUGGAGAGGAGCAGUUCAAUGAGUCUUGAUCAUUUUUCGAUAUCCGACUUUGGUCGGUUU
This is a non-coding RNA of Ciona savignyi (Pacific transparent sea squirt), 120 nucleotides long. Lineage: Eukaryota; Metazoa; Chordata; Ascidiacea; Phlebobranchia; Cionidae. The record is from Rfam.